This 158-nucleotide ribosomal RNA is filed under the name Geopyxis carbonaria. RNAcentral describes it as "5.8S ribosomal RNA". It matches the Rfam family "5.8S ribosomal RNA". From Rfam's summary of the family: 5.8S ribosomal RNA (5.8S rRNA) is a component of the large subunit of the eukaryotic ribosome. It is transcribed by RNA polymerase I as part of the 45S precursor that also contains 18S and 28S rRNA. The record is from RNAcentral. RNAcentral also lists the same sequence under 2 other names. Lineage: Eukaryota; Fungi; Ascomycota; Pezizomycetes; Pezizales; Tarzettaceae.
AACUUUCAACAACGGAUCUCUUGGUUCUCGCAUCGAUGAAGAACGCAGCGAAAUGCGAUAAGUAGUGUGAAUUGCAGAAUUCAGUGAAUCAUCGAAUCUUUGAACGCACAUUGCGCCCUCUGGUAUUCCGGGGGGCAUGCCUGUUCGAGCGUCAUCAA